AAACAUUGAUGGGGCACUACCUUCCCCAUCCGCCCGGGAACUACGAGCAUAAGCUUAAAACCCAAAGGACUUGGCGGUGCUUUAGAUCCACCUAGAGGAGCCUGUUCUAGAACCGAUAACCCCCGUUAAACCUCACCCUUCCUGGCCUUUUUCCGCCUAUAUACCACCGUCGUCAGUUUACCCUAUGAGGGAUUAAUAGUAAGCAAGAUUGGCACCAGCCUAAAACGUUAGGUCGAGGUGUAGUGCAUGGAAGGGGAAGAAAUGGGCUACAUUCGCUGACUCAGCGAAAACGAACGACAAAAUGAAAUGUUUGUCUAAAGGAGGAUUUAGAAGUAAGUAGAAAAUAGAGUGUUUU
Molecule: ribosomal RNA, 355 nt
Filed under: Elassoma zonatum (banded pygmy sunfish)
Lineage: Eukaryota; Metazoa; Chordata; Actinopteri; Centrarchiformes; Elassomatidae
Description: partial 12S ribosomal RNA
Rfam family: Bacterial small subunit ribosomal RNA
Source: RNAcentral